CAGGAUUGAGUUCGUUCAGAUUGCUAGACAUUGCUUUACCUACAGAUUCAUCUUACUGCUCUCAACCCUUUCUUUCCUUUUGUUUGUUUUUGUGGAGACAUAGCUCUGGCUGGUCUGGAAAUCUAUGUAGACCAGGCAGGCUUCGAAGUCAUAGAGAUCCCCCGUCUCUCCCUCCUGAGAGCUGGGAUUAAAGAUCUGUGCCACCUCAAUCCUUCCAGUCCUUUCCUUUUUUACCUCUUUAGUCCAAAUUUGGGAGCACAUGCAUAUUAUCUCAGCACCCAAGAAGUUGGGAUAAGCAAGAAAAAAAUCGUCAGAACUAGGAGAUUAAGAUCUGCUAGGACAGGGAAAUGAAAUUCUAUUUUGAAUAAAAGAAAUGAAA
Molecule: long non-coding RNA, 379 nt
Filed under: Rattus norvegicus (Norway rat)
Lineage: Eukaryota; Metazoa; Chordata; Mammalia; Rodentia; Muridae
Description: long non-coding RNA NONRATT009900
Source: RNAcentral